GGUUUCGAUGGUGCAGCAGAAGGAUUAAGUGUUUAAAAUUUUUAUUAAAAAUAUCCAAUGCACCGAAAACCCUAAUACCCAGAAACUCUUGACUAUAUCAAUCAAAGUACAAUAAAAUAAAUUUGGAUUAGAAGAAUACCUAUAGUGCUAAUCUUAAUUUUCACAAGACGUCCAAGUGUUCAUCCUCCAACGGUGAUCCACACAAAAAUUGAACCAAAGACAGCGCUCCUUCUUCACCUUGCUUUAAAAGUUCUAGCCCCUAAAACUCAACCAGCCAC
Molecule: long non-coding RNA, 278 nt
Filed under: Elaeis guineensis (African oil palm)
Lineage: Eukaryota; Viridiplantae; Streptophyta; Magnoliopsida; Arecales; Arecaceae
Description: long non-coding RNA (EGUI_LNC079952)
Source: RNAcentral